RNAcentral lists this long non-coding RNA (1520 nucleotides) under Nicotiana benthamiana. RNAcentral's name for it is "long non-coding RNA (NBEN_LNC006665)". Lineage: Eukaryota; Viridiplantae; Streptophyta; Magnoliopsida; Solanales; Solanaceae. The record is from RNAcentral.
AUCCGGGAAUAUUAACAACUCAUAAGUCUUUCCGGCUGCCACGAGCGCAUUAAUAAGCCUAGCCGUGUGCCUAAAAUGCACAUUUUCAUCAAUCAUGCCAUGCACGAGUAACAGCUUCCCUUUGAUCUUGGCUACAUGGUGCAUUACAGAGCUCUCGCGAUAGCCUGAUGGAUUUUCGGAUGGUAGGCCCAUGUACUUUUCUGUGUAAAAUGUAUCAUAUCCGUCCCACGAUGUUACAGGGGCACCAGACACAGCACAUUUGAAUACCUCAGGUUUACAUGGUGCAUUACAGAGCUCUCUCGAUAGCCUGAUGGAUUUUCGGAUGGUAGGCCCAUAUACUUUUCUGUGUAGAAUGUAUCAUAUCCGUCCCACGAUGUUACAGGGGCACCAGACACAGCACAUUUGAAUACCUCAGGAAACCUUGCCAAUGUCAUAGCCGAGAGAUACCCACCGUAGCUCCAUCCAUACAAUCCGAUGUGGCCUUGUUUUGCGAGCCCUUGUUUCAGGAGCCACUCAGCUCCUGUCAGUUGAUCCUCAGCAUCAUCUAGGUUUUGCGAGCCCUUGUUUCAGGAGCCACUCAGCUCCUGUCAGUUGAUCCUCAGCAUCAACGAGGCCACAGUUAUAUUUGAGUGCACCCUCGAACACGAAUCCUCGUCGAGCACUGCCUCUGUUGUCCAUCUGUAAAAAGCUCAGCAAGUAGGUUCAGAAUUUCUUUGCUUUUAUUGGGUUUAUUCUCUGUAUUUUCUAUGUUAGUCCAAAAUGAAUUCUUAUAAGGAAAACUAAAAGGCAGUGUCAUGUGCUUAGAUAAAAACCACAGAAAACUCAAUUUAGGUAAUCCAGAGAAGAGAAGGACAAUGGUCUCCAUAAGAAGAAAGUCAUGUACAUAAAAGGGCAGCUGAGUGCACGAAGCAUCCAGCGUUUACGCAUGGUCCGAGGAAGGGCCGCACCCCAUGAGGGUGGGUUGUAGCCAGCCUACCCUGGUGCAAGCGUUGCCCCAAGGCUCCCCUUCGAUAUGGCCAAGUACAACUGAAUGAAUUUAGAUUAAAAAGGGCAUAUAGAUAGUACAGGAAAGAGGAGCAAACCUUCCAAACUAAGAUGCCUUUGCUUCUUAGAUACUGAGCUCUCAUGUCGACAGUGUUCGUCCACGAGUCACACACAAGCUGUACACUUGGACCACCAUAGACUUCAAUCAUAGUUCUGUAUGGAGGAGCUCCAAACUUCAUUGGAUCCGGUUUGUAUAAUUGCCCAUAUAAAGCAGUUCCAUCCUGGGCCUGUAUCUGAAUUAUUUCUGGAGAUUCAAGAUGGAGUUUUCUGAAUUGCGGAACACUGACUGGUUGAUCAAAUAGAUGCAUAAUUAAGCUUCCAUCAUGCAAGGAGCAGAGUGAAGGUAUGGAGGAGGUCCAAACUUCACUGGAUCCGGCUUGUAUAAUUGCCCAUAUAAAGCAGUUCCAUCCUGGGCCUGUAUCUGAAUUAUUUCUGGAGAUUCAAGAUGGAGUUUUCUGAACCGUGGAACGCUGACU